This 364-nucleotide ribosomal RNA is filed under the name uncultured bacterium. RNAcentral describes it as "partial 16S ribosomal RNA". It matches the Rfam family "Bacterial small subunit ribosomal RNA", at positions 355 to 707 of the family's 1533-position model. The record is from RNAcentral.
UGGGGAAUAUUGCACAAUGGGCAGCAAGCCUGAUGCAGCCAUGCCGCGUGUGAAGAAGGCCUUCGGGUUGUAAAGCACUUUCAGCGAGGAGGAAGGUGGUGAGCUUAAUACGCUCAUCAAUUGACGUUACUCGCAGAAGAAGCACCGGCUAACUCCGUGCCAGCAGCCGCGGUAAUACGGAGGGUGCAAGCGUUAAUCGGAAUUAACUGGGCGUAAAGCGCACGCAGGCCGGUUUGUUAAGUCAGAUGUGAAAUCCCCGGGACUCAACCUUGGGAACUGCAUUUGAAACUGGCAAGCUAGAGUCUCGUAGAGGGGGGUAGAAAUUCCAGGUGUAGCGGUGAAAUGCGUAGAGAUCUGGAGGAAU